Long non-coding RNA from Neopelma chrysocephalum (saffron-crested tyrant-manakin), 4892 nucleotides. RefSeq lists it as uncharacterized. The transcript has 2 exons. The record is from RefSeq and is a predicted model, not a curated record. Lineage: Eukaryota; Metazoa; Chordata; Aves; Passeriformes; Pipridae.
GGGGGGGGAGUCUGCUCUGUGUGGCGCAGGAGCCGGGGCGACUGCGGUGGCUUUCGGGGCUGUGCCCCUUGAGCUGUCCGGGGAGAGGGGUCCGUGCGGGGCUGACCAGCCGUGGGACCAAGUACGGGCUGAGGCUUAAAGAGUAGCGCUGGCCUUGGUGGGGGAGGCCGUCAAAAGGGAACAGGCUGGGUCAUGCCCUUGUGGCAUACCAGGUGACAGGCUGCGUUUGCUGUUUUGAGGCUUUUUUUCAGGGUUGUAGCUUCUGUCUGAUAAUUGCACUAGUGGUGGGUGGUUGUCACAAACAUAGGGCUUAGUGUAACCAGCAGGAGGAGCUUUGUUUCCUCCUAGAGGCAGCUGCCCUCAGUAUGUCUGGAAAAGGGUAGGAUUAGAUUAGAUAUAAGGAAGACAUUUUUUAUUUCAAGGAUGGUGAUGCAUAGAAACAGACUGCCUGGAGAAGUUGUGGCUGCCUCAUCCCAAGGCCAGGCUGGAUGGGGCUCUGAGCAACCUGGCCUAGUGGAAGGUGCCCCUGCCCACAGCAGGGGGGUUGCAAUUAGGUGGUCUUUAAGGUCCCUUCCAACCCAAACCUAUGACUCUGUGUCCAUAGAGUCGUAAAUCAGCCUUGAAGAAGCUGAGAGAAUGGAUGAUAUGGUGUAAGGCAUCUCAGCAGUUCACCUAACUUGCUUGCCCACUAUCUUAGCUGUGCUUGCUGUCUAGUGUUGGCGUGGCUUAGCCAGAUGACUAGGUGCUGUCUUAGUUUCAGCAUACCCUCUGGCUGGCAUCUAGGAGCUAGGCUAGAAUUUUGACCAGCGGGUUUUAGACUUUAUUGUACUGAAUGUCAUCCCUGCUUUUGCUAGGCUUUUGUGUUGGGGGUUGGGAAAUGAUCUGCUCACCAAAAGAGAGAGUAAUCAAAGCUCUCUUAGGCUUAAGGGGACUGGAGUUCCCUGAAACGAUGUAUAGAAGACCUUUAAUGUAAACUCGAAGGGAGGAUGCUCAAGGUAUUGCAUGGCUUGUGAAAUAAUACCCUUUCUAGCUACAGGUGGUUCCUGUGAAAUAAAGCACUUUAUUAUCUCAAGAAGGUACUCAAUUGAAAGGAGUUGUGAAGAGUUUUACAGGCUUGCUUGAUGUGUUAGCUAAAGUCCAGUAGUGGUACAGCUCAGGACAAAUGGGGCUGUGGGGUUUAUUUCAUACUUUGGCUCCUUUUGGAGGUAAGUAGGAUGUAUUUGCUCAGGAUAUUGCCUCACAAUAACUACACAAAUAGUGUGUUCGUCCCAGGAGACACUCAAGGGGGGGAGGGAGGAUGUCGUGAGAUAUUCUGUGAUGCAUUUGUUUCACCUGAAUAUUGCAGCCUUUCAAAAUCAGCUGGUAUUACAGCAAUGUGUGCCAUUCUUCUCUGGCUUUAUAUGCAGCUCUAUCCAGCUAAAGAAUCAGAACCAGUUGCUUGCCAUCCUGUAAAAAGUCCAGUGUCCUGUAAGUGCUUCUCCUCGUGUCCAAGUUGUCCCAUUUUGCCAUAUUCAUGAGUAAAGAAAAAGAGAGGGUGGAACGCUCUGUGGCUGCUGUACCUUUCAUUAUUAGUUCCAUACAUCUGAAGAAUUCUGGAUUACAAGUACAGCCCUUUUUAUUUCUUUUCUACUUCUUUUUCUUCUAUUUGCGGAUACCUUUAGAUUAGGUGAACUGUGGGUGAAAUAAAGGGGCAGUGGCAUGAUGACUUCACAGUUACAACAGUUGUCCACAGUAGACUUUAGCCCUAUGCUUUUAUCUGCGCAGCUGGUACCUGGUGCUGAUGAUGCCCUGAUGUCUCAGCAGGGAAUUGCUAUAUGAUAUCAAAAUGUAGGAAAAAGGAAAUGACUUCAGAAUCUACCCAAGUGAAUGCCUGAUACAAGAGACAAGUAAAACAGUUUUCUCUGUGUGUGUAGUUCACUUCAAUCAGUUUGGGGGUGUCUGCUACUUGUUAGUGUAUGGAUUUUACUCAUUGAUGACAACUUGUUAGAACUGUUAAUGACAAAACCUGUUUUCUGUGUGUCAAACUCUGAUAGUAUGUCCACCUGAAAGCGCUAAUGCACAAGUCUCUCCUGACCGAACAGAGAUCUUGCUUCUUGCAAGAUCCACAAGAAGCUUACAGUCCUAUUGCAGAAAUAAGCAUUUUCUUGGCGUUUCAUAUGAAAAUAUACAAGAUGGUGAUAGAAUUGAAAGCCUGCCUUCGGCUUUUCUCAAACACAAGGGUAUGUUCUACUUUAAUGCUGUUAGUGGAAACUUACUCUGGUGUGUGUCUGGUCCUCAGCCUAUGAAGCUGAUAUGUUUGUCUGUACUUGAACUACUAUGCUGACAUCCUACACUGCAAAAACUAUGGAUUUUCUUUGCUACUGAAGUGAUUUUUGUCACUGUGGACUCAGGUAAGCAACCACCCAGUUUCCUGAAGACCUAGAGAAAGAGUUGGAAGAUCCUGCAGGAGGUGUGAGGAAGAUGAGGAUAAGUAGGAAUGUGUGAUGACUUAAAGAAGAAAUUGCUUAAUCAAAGUUUAAUUUAAGUUCAUAUGUAGAAACCUGUCUUUGUGUCUCAGCUUUCAUUCUGACAAGUUUCCUCUAAAUGAAAACAUCAAGGAUUUGGAUGCUCUAAAUUGAGCAGUCACUGGAUGCUGUACUAAGCCAGCUCUGCAGUCCGCAUGAGAUACACAGAUUUCGAGAUGAAGUGUACAAAUAGAUUAUUACAUAAUUUUUAAGGUGUCCGGUGUUAUAAUGCCACAGUGUCAACAUCCAUGGCAGCGCAGCACAGAGAACUGGCAGGGUGUUGGGGUUGUCUUGGUUCUUGCAAACUCACUGUCAGGCCUAACAUAAUUCCUGGUAUGCACAUUAGCAUUAGUGGAGUAUAGUUUGUAAGGAUGAUUGAUACCUUACAAGAGUACGUCUGUACUACUCUUGGAAUGUGAGUUUUGUUUUAAAAUCCGAUUUUCUCAACUAUCCCAACUAUAAAACUUGGUUGUCUACAGUCCCAACUGCUUAUUUCAAAGCCUCUGGUGGAAGGGUGUUAACUCUUGCACAUCAAAGUUUCUGCUCAGAUGAUGGAGGAUGAAGAAGCUGCAAUGAAGUUUGGUUGGUUGCAAUUGUCUUCCAUGGAGCUGUUUCCCAAAAAGUUACUGGAGCUGCAAAGUGAAAGGUGAGAGGGUGAAUUUAGCUGGGUAGAAUAGGUAAGUAUUUCUAUAUCAUGUUACUAUUUCCAAGUAUAUUAAUUAUAGCACAGAAGAAUACGUUGUGUUGUCUUGGUUCUUUGACAGGGAGAGGUUGGAAAAACAGGAAAGAGUGGAAGGCUUCUGUACCUUUUUUAAAUGUUUUUAAUGAAAUUGUGGGGAGGAAGCUGUUAAACCAGUAUCUGGAAGAGCCUAGUAUUCUUGCAUAGCAAAAGGAGUCGGUAAAGCUGCUCUGGAAAUAAUUCUAGUGACUAAUUAUGAAGUGUAACCUUUUUUUGUGUGUGUGUCUUUCAGCACAAGAAGAGUGCUCUAAGAGCAGUCAAGAACCUUUUCAGUUAGCAUGAACAUGUUCUUCAACCAAAACAUGGCAGCAGUUCAGUAGCAGUUACACAACAGGAAAGGGUGUGCGGGCUACUGUGAGUCCCUGGGUUCAUAAGAUGUGGUAUCUGAAAGAACUCACUAGAGAGAAGAAUGUGGUUUUUUCCACAGCUUCUAUCUUGAGUUGAAAAGAAAGCUAAUAGUGAAACAGGAAAUUGAUUUUAUUGUAGAUACUGGAGAUGGUCAUUACAAUAUGCAGGACUUCAAAGUGUUAGGACACUGAAAAACUGGAGGUAGUUUGAGUACAAGAGACUCCAGGGCUCCAGUUGUGGGAAGUUCCGUCUUCGGAAGGCACACUAACAGUGGGGAAAACUUGCUAAACACAUGGAGACUCAAAACGUUCUGUGGCUGUCUCUUAGCUACACAUGGAUAUAUCUCUUAAGGUGGGAUGGUGUGACAUGACCACUGAAGACCAUAGGGCUGUAAGCAGACCACAUUUCUCUUAUCAGCAUGUGUGCCACUACCCAGUUCAGAAGCACUCCAAAAGCUUCAGGUUUUGUCACAUAAUAGUAUUUCCUGGAACAAUAGCUUUUCUUGGUCCACCUCACUCCUGCAAAGCCAGCUGGCUCAUGGCAGCACUGUGGUGAAGAUACGCCUUCCACACCCAUGAGUUGCUGAAGUCUUGCACAGAAAAUGACUCAGACAGGCUCCAGAGCUGAGCAUAAAUCUUUUGGCUCACACUGUUGUAGCUUUAAGAUACAUGAGUGCUUCCAUGUGGAACAAGAAACACUUGGGCUGCGUGUUUAGAUGUACUUUGUGUGUGCACUGCCCUCUCCAGCACAAAGCUUGAUCAAACCCUGUAUUGCAUAAAGCAGGUGGAGGUAUCAUGCUGAGAUUGUGCUUGGGGUGGACCUCAUUCAGUUGCCACUGAUCAUGGAAAAGUCUGUUUUUGUUGUGUAGGGGUAAACCUGAGUUGGUAACCAAUACUGCUCAGCUGAUGUGUGCGUCUGUGCCAGAAGAGCAGUUCAUGAGCUGACAAAUCUUUGACCAUGGUACUAGCUGUUAAUCCUUUCAAAAUAAUAAAAAGGAGGGGGGGGUGAGAGGCAGCAGAGGAUUUUUUUAAGGGUCACAUAAGUUCUACUGAAAUUAAAAGCUCACUAAAAAUAUCUUUGUGGAAAGAAUACAUUUUAGGAAAUGAUGAUUCCUGUGAUGAGAGCGAUGUGAGCCUUUAGUUAUGGCAAGCCUCCAAUGCUGUUCCUUGUCCCUGUUUUUGUGAUGUGUGGGUAAAAAAGUGUUGGACACAGAGUGAAAGCCAUAACCAGAGGUUAAAAUUUAAUUUUAGCAACCAUAGUUUUAAGUCAAAUGAUGCACCAUUGUUUAUGUUCUUAGAAAA